CUACGUGCCAGCAGCCGCGGUAAUACGGAAGGUCCAGGCGUUAUCCGGAUUUAUUGGGUUUAAAGGGAGUGUAGGCGGUUUGUUAAGCGUGUUGUGAAAUUUAGGUGCUCAACAUUUAACUUGCAGCGCGAACUGUCAGACUUGAGUACACGCAACGUAUGCGGAAUUCAUGGUGUAGCGGUGAGAUGCUUAGAUAUCAUGAAGAACUCCGAUUGCGAAGGCAGCAUACGGGAGUGUAACUGACGCUUAAGCUCGAAGGUGCGGGUAUCGAACAGGAUUAGAUACCCUGGUAGUCCGCACAGUAAACGAUGGAUGCUCGCUGUUGGCCUUUAUGGUCAGUGGCUUAGCGAAAGCGUUAAGCAUCCCACCUGGGGAGUACGCCGGCAACGGUGAAACUCAAAGGAAUUGACGGGGGCCCGCACAAGCGGAGGAACAUGUGGUUUAAUUCGAUGAUACGCGAGGAACCUUACCCGGGCUUGAACUGCAGCUGAACGAUUCAGAGA
Molecule: ribosomal RNA, 503 nt
Filed under: uncultured bacterium
Lineage: Bacteria
Description: bacterial SSU rRNA
Rfam family: Bacterial small subunit ribosomal RNA
Source: RNAcentral